GCAAAUUCAUAACAACAAUCCAACUUGGCGACAAUGGACUUCAAGUGCUGUCUGAUAUUCCUAUCGCUUUUGCUCGCCGGCGUUAUGGGCCGUCCAGAGACAGCUAAGCCACGCCCCACGCUGCCGCCCUGCACGCCCUGGUGCGCCGGACAGCCCCCACCGCCACCGGGAGCGGUUAACUGACUUUUUACCGGGAUUGUGAUCUCUUAUGAAAAAUAAAUAAAAUUUAAAG
Drosophila eugracilis is the source of this 232-nucleotide long non-coding RNA. RefSeq lists it as uncharacterized. The transcript has 2 exons. Lineage: Eukaryota; Metazoa; Arthropoda; Insecta; Diptera; Drosophilidae. The record is from RefSeq and is a predicted model, not a curated record.